CGUGAGGAACCUGCCUUGGAGAGGGGGAUAACACUCCGAAAGGAGUGCUAAUACCGCAUGAUGCAGUUGGGUCGCAUGGCUCUGACUGCCAAAGAUUUAUCGCUCUGAGAUGGCCUCACGUCUGAUUAGCUAGUAGGCGGGGUAACGGCCCACCUAGGCGACGAUCAGUAGCCGGACUGAGAGGUUGACCGGCCACAUUGGGACGGAGACACGGCCCAG
RNAcentral lists this ribosomal RNA (219 nucleotides) under uncultured bacterium. Its description in RNAcentral is "partial 16S ribosomal RNA". It matches the Rfam family "Bacterial small subunit ribosomal RNA", at positions 116 to 334 of the family's 1533-position model. The record is from RNAcentral.